This 253-nucleotide ribosomal RNA is filed under the name uncultured bacterium. Its description in RNAcentral is "partial 16S ribosomal RNA". It matches the Rfam family "Bacterial small subunit ribosomal RNA", at positions 524 to 776 of the family's 1533-position model. The record is from RNAcentral.
GACGAACCGUGCAAACGUUGUUCGGAAUCACUGGGCUUAAAUGGCGCGUAGGCGGGUGAUCAAGUCAGGGGUGAAAUCUUUCGGCUUAACCGGAAAACUGCCUUUGAUACUGGUCGUCUCGAGUGAGGUAGGGGCAUGUGGAACUUCCGGUGGAGCGGUGGAAUGCGUUGAUAUCGGAAGGAACGCCGGUGGCGAAAGCGACGUGCUGGACCUCCUCUGACGCUGAUGCGCGAAAGCUAGGGGAGCGAACGGG